UAAUAAAAGAAACGCUUUAAAUUUUUUAGGUAUUCGUAAACAAAAAAAACAAUGUUUCAAAUUAUAAGCAUGAGAGUAAGAAUAAUACAUCAUAUGAUGUAUUAAAAAUAUCACCUGUUGAAAAAAAAAAGUUAAUGUCACAUGACGCAUCUUAUACGAUUGCAAGUAAUACCUGUUCAGUGUUAUCACCAUAUAAAAACACGCUAAAAAUUAGCUCAGACAAUAAUGACAAUAAUAAAAAUAGUGAUGAAAGCACUAAAAGUGGUAUUAACAAUAAUUAUGUAGAAAAUCAAAAUGCUCAACAAAAAGGUUUUUUAACAAAAGAAAAAAAAAACAGGUUUUAUUGGUUGGAACAAAUUGUUUAUAAUAAUAUAAACAAUAGUUAUGAUAAAAAUGAAAUAAAAAUUUUUCAUAUUUAUCAUGAUAGUAGAGCUGAAUGUUUAUUUAAUGACAUAAGCAUAAUAAAAUUUUACUGGCAUAAAAAUAUAUGUAUAUAUGAAAAUAAAAAUUAUAUAUAUAAUGAAAUUAAUAAAAAAUUGUUUCAAAAAGAAGAAGAAAAAAAAAAAAGACAUACCUUUCGAUUUAAGUAAUGAUAAUAUAUAUGAGUAUUUAUAUAAAGAAAAAAUGAAAAUAAAUAACAGCAAAAGUAAUAAUAAUAAUCAACAAGGCAGUAAUAAUAAAAAUCAACAAGGCAGUAAUAAUAAAAAUCAACAAGACAAUAAUAAUAAACAAGAUAGUAAUAAUAAACAAGAUAGUAAUUUAAAAAAUGGAAUAAAUAUUGAAAAUGAUAAUAAUAAUAAUAAUGAAAAAAUACAAUAUAUACAAUUUUAUAUUCAUAAAUACCCUUCUUUUUUAAAAGAAAAAAUAAAAAUAUUUAUACAUAUAUAUAAUAUGUUUAGUUUGUAUCCAUAUAUUAAUCACAAAUUUGUAGAAGAACAAAUUUAUUCAAAAAGUUUAAAAAUUACAUGUAUUUCUGAAAAAAUUUUACACAUAAAAUGGAAUUUUUUAAAUGAAACUGAAUUAAAAAUUAUAUUAAAUGAAAUAAUUAACAAACGUAAAAAAUAUAAUUUAAUUAAUAAUUUUGUAAAAAUUAACAAUUUUCUUUAUAUCAAUUUUUUAACACAAGAAAUAAAGGUAUACGAUAUACAUAGCCAUAAUAAUAGUAGUAGUAAUGGCAGUAGUAUUAGUAUUAGUGACAGUAGUAGUAGUAGUAGUAAUAAUUGUUAUAAUAAGGAAGGGAAUAAGAAGAAGAAUAAACAAUUAAUCGAUUCCAAUUAUAUUAUGUUAAAUGGUAAUGGACUUUGUUUUUCAGUACAUUAUCACAUACUUGUUCCUUAUCACAGACACAUAAGUGAAAAAUCAAAUGGUCAGAAUGAGAAUGACCAUUUAACUGCUGAUUAUAAUGGUGUCGAAUGUAAUAGUUCCGUUGUCAGUGACGAAAAAAAUUGUGACGGUUCAUUUAGUCAUAAUAUAAGUGAUCACAAUAUGAACGACUUAGAUGUGAACGACUUAGAUGUGAACGACUUAAAUGUGAACGACUUGAACAUAAACGACUUGA
Molecule: long non-coding RNA, 1558 nt
Filed under: Piliocolobus tephrosceles (Ugandan red Colobus)
Lineage: Eukaryota; Metazoa; Chordata; Mammalia; Primates; Cercopithecidae
Description: lncRNA (ENSPTEG00000010667.1)
Source: RNAcentral